GUGCUCACUUUGGCAGCAUAUAAACUAAAAUUGGAAUAAUACUGAGAAGAUUAGCUUGGCCCUUAUGCAAAGAUGGCAUGCAAAUUCAUGAAGCAUUCCAUAUUUGG
Small nuclear RNA from Myodes glareolus (Bank vole), 107 nucleotides. The record is from RefSeq and is a predicted model, not a curated record. Lineage: Eukaryota; Metazoa; Chordata; Mammalia; Rodentia; Cricetidae.